AACGUUACNNNNNNNNNNNNNNCCUCGGCGGGAUCUUCUGCCCCGGGUGCGUCGCAGCCCCGGACCAAGGCGCCCGCCGGAGGAAUCAACCAAAACUCUUAUUGUAUACCCCCUCGCGGGUUUUUUUAUAAUCUGAGCCUUCUCGGCGCCUCUCGUAGGCGUUUCGAUAAUGAAUCAAAACUUUCAACAACGGAUCUCUUGGUUCUGGCAUCGAUGAAGAACGCAGCGAAAUGCGAUAAGUAAUGUGAAUCGCAGAAUUCAGUGAAUCAUCGAAUCUUUGAACGCACAUUGCGCCCGCCAGUAUUCUGGCGGGCAUGCCUGUCCGAGCGUCAUUUCAACCCUCGAACCCCUCCGGGGGGUCGGCGUUGGGGAUCGGCCUUCCUUCACGGGGGCCGUCUCCGAAAUACAGUGGCGGUCUCGCCGCAGCCUCUCCUGCGCAGUAGUUUGCACACUCGCAUCGGGAGCGCGGCGCGUCCACAGCCGUUAAACACCCAACUUCUGAAAUGUUGACCUCGGAUCAGGUAGGAAUACCCGCUGAACUUA
This 543-nucleotide ribosomal RNA is filed under the name uncultured Hypocreaceae. RNAcentral's name for it is "eukaryotic LSU rRNA". The stretch from base 179 to 332 matches the Rfam family "5.8S ribosomal RNA". Lineage: Eukaryota; Fungi; Ascomycota; Sordariomycetes; Hypocreales. The record is from RNAcentral.